RNAcentral lists this long non-coding RNA (534 nucleotides) under Zalophus californianus (California sea lion). RNAcentral's name for it is "lncRNA (ENSZCAG00015012165.1)". Lineage: Eukaryota; Metazoa; Chordata; Mammalia; Carnivora; Otariidae. The record is from RNAcentral.
CAGCCAUGGUAGCUUAGAAAAGGGAGCAAAGAAUUUUUACUUCCAAAUGCCUACAUUUGGCAUGCCUGCAAUGCCUGCAAUGCCUACAUUUGGCUAUGCCUGCAAUGCAUAGACAUUAUCUCGUCGGAGAUCUUGGGGGAUAUUAUUAGUAUCUUCAUUUUAUAGAUGAGGAAAAUUGGCUUCAGAUUUGUUGUGUAACUCGGGGAAGGUCGUACAAUUAGAAGUUCUUGGCCAGCUUUUUAAACCAGGACUCUCUGAUAAUCAGUCGGCCUGUGAUAUCCCUUUCUAGUCAGCAGUCAGACCACUACCUGAAGGCCCCUGAGUGGCCUAGACGUCGUGUAGGCAUCUGUUCUAGGGACUGGAACUACUGAUUGGGAGCUGUGAGAACUUGCCCCUUGCUCUGAAGACCCAGAUGUCAAAGGAACCAGGGAUACUUGGCCUGGAGACAAUAAGAUCUAGAGGAACUAUUCUACCAGGAAAGGGAAGCAAUAUGUGACUUGCUCCCGUUUCAAGAUGCAUUUGCCCCUGGUCCUU